UACGAAGGGGGCUAGCGUUGCUCGGAAUCACUGGGCGUAAAGCGCACGUAGGCGGAUUGCUAAGUCAGGGGUGAAAUCCUGGAGCUCAACUCCAGAACUGCCUUUGAUACUGGCGAUCUCGAGUCCGGGAGAGGUGAGUGGAACUGCGAGUGUAGAGGUGAAAUUCGUAGAUAUCUGGAGGAACACCGGUGGCGAAGGCGGCAUCCUGGACCGACACUGACGCUGAGGAGCGAAAGCCAGGGGAGCAAACGGG
Molecule: ribosomal RNA, 253 nt
Filed under: uncultured bacterium
Lineage: Bacteria
Description: partial 16S ribosomal RNA
Rfam family: Bacterial small subunit ribosomal RNA
Source: RNAcentral